AGAGUUUGAUCAUGGCUCAGAUUGAACGCUGGCGGCAUGCUUUACACAUGCAAGUCGAACGCGAAAGGGGGGCAACCCCUGAGUAGAGUGGCGCACGGGUGAGUAAUGCAUCGGAACGUGUCUGGUAGUGGGGGACAACCAGUCGAAAGAUUGGCUAAUACCGCAUACGCUGGAGACAGGAAAGCGGGGGACCUGGCAACAGGCCUUGCGCUAUCGGGGCGGCCGAUGCCCGAUUAGCUAGUUGGCGGGGUAAGAGCCCACCAAGGCUUCGAUCGGUAGCUGGUCUGAGAGGAUGAUCAGCCACACUGGGACUGAGACACGGCCCAGACUCCUACGGGAGGCAGCAGUGGGGAAUUUUGGACAAUGGGGGCAACCCUGAUCCAGCCAUGCCGCGUGAGGGAAGAAGGCCUUCGGGUUGUAAACCUCUUUCGGGCGGGACGAAAAGGGAUGCGUGAAUAACGUAUCUUCAUGACGGUACCGCAAGAAGAG
This 489-nucleotide ribosomal RNA is filed under the name uncultured Thiobacter sp. Its description in RNAcentral is "bacterial SSU rRNA". It matches the Rfam family "Bacterial small subunit ribosomal RNA", at positions 8 to 489 of the family's 1533-position model. Lineage: Bacteria; Pseudomonadati; Pseudomonadota; Betaproteobacteria; Burkholderiales; Thiobacteraceae. The record is from RNAcentral.